RNAcentral lists this long non-coding RNA (1903 nucleotides) under Dermacentor andersoni. RNAcentral's name for it is "uncharacterized LOC126536523". The record is from RNAcentral. Lineage: Eukaryota; Metazoa; Arthropoda; Arachnida; Ixodida; Ixodidae.
CCCAGGCGGCACGUCAGGUUGGGCCAACGUUGGAAACAUAUUGGCACUUCUUGGCCCAAUGACGGCCUAAGAUUAACAGCGUGGUUCCAAUAUUGGCAGUGCCAUUCUGAUUCCUGGCCCAAUGAUGGCCUAAGGUUAACAGCGUGGCGCCAAUAUUGGCUGUGCCAUUCUGAUAGAGAUCCAACGUUGGCCCACAUUACACAGUCAGUAAACAAUAUUGGCUGUGCCAUUCUGAUAGAGAUCCAAUGUUGGCCCAGUUUACACAGUCAGUAAACAAUAUUGGCACUGCCGUUCAACAAGGCGGGAAUUAUUGGAACGACUUUCGUAUGGAUUUGCCAAUAUGGGUUACUAGUUGGCUUUCUUUGGAGGACAUUGGCCCGUAAUAAGCCAAUUUUCGCCUUGUCGGCUUUUAGUGCUCUACGAAUUGCUGAGAUUGAACAACGUGUUUUGAAAAGUAACGCACUGAUCACAGGCACACUGCGCAGGAACCAGAAAUAUGUUCUCCCAUGUCAACUCCAUGAAUGGUACACCGCCAUUUUUGCACUUCUUCUUUACCGAAAUGCGUCCCCUAAAGAGAAAAGCCAGUGUACCACGUAGCAAGCAGGGGAAGUCGCAUAAAUUUAGCCGCUGCUUUAUUGAUCGUGAAUAAGAACAUGAGCUUUCCAUAAGAAGCAACGGUAUUGCGAAUUUGCCUGCGAUUGUAUAUUUUGCAUGUACGCUCCGCGGCUUUGGUGGGUCAGGAUUCUGAGGAGAAUCGAGAAUUACAGUGCCUCAGAGCUGAUGGAACCGUUUUAUAUUGCAUCGAGAUGGAGCGCAUAUGUAUUAGUGAAACUUUUGUUUGUUUGUUUAGCAUGCAUGGCAUGUUGCGGCGACAUAAUCAUCAUGCUCCUAUUCUGAUAUAUUUGUUUGUUCGUGCAUGUGUAGCAAGCUCCUUGUGUGAAAGCCCCUGACAGAAAGAAAAAAUUAAUUGCACUUUUUGGCAUUUGCGUGUCAACAACCUGUUGCCUUUGCCUUUAGUAGGCACGGCGCAUUCCGGAUUUUUUUUUUUCGGCCUAGCUUUCCGUCUUUAGCCCUCCCUUGCCUCUCGCCCACGCUCCCAGGUGAGCCUGGUCAAUGCUAUCAGUCAAGCGUUCAGACAGCCAUAAGCUGCUGUGUCGAAUUGGGUGCUCUCGGAAGCAUGGGGGAAAGCAGCGGGGUCACUAUUGUCCUCCUUGUCGCCCUCCGUCGCUGUCACCCCAAAACGCGGUCGGGCUAGGUCCAGCGGGGGAAAGUGGCGUUUACGCCGUAUUCUUCGUUCACCCUUUCCUUUCACUCUUUCCUUCUAUGCGUCGCUAGCACGCCGACUGGGUGCAACACCGCCUGAGUGCUUGCCGUCUUGUCCGUUCUUGCCAGCGCACUCCUCUCGUGAAAAAUGCUCGCUUGCGGUCGUCAUUCCUACUGAGAAGCCUACAUCUUGAAAUACGCAGCAAUGUCGCCACGAAUUUUUGUGAGUGUUAGAAUUAAUAUAGAAAAAGUCGGCGCUCGUGGCCACCGUCUUCGAUGUGGGAUGAACUCGGAUACAAAGAAGCAUGGAUCUUACAAUGUGCAAGCAUUUCCUCCAAGUAAUGGUGAAGUCGCUAUGGGAUAUGGUAGCAAUAUCAACGAAACCACCGCGUUAUCGUGGUCCUCGGCGGCCUGAUCAGCCCGCUGUCAUCCAAGCACUGACAAACCUGCCUACCGACGUCAGCUCCCUGCCCUGAAACCCCUGGCCAGCCCACCGUCCUCGGCACCUUGCCCAAUUCCUAUCCUGAGGGCAAUGCCUGUAAAUAAACUGUUUGAAGAUAUCCGAGCGUCACCCAUCUAGGUCCACGGAAAAUGCCUGUUUGUGAAAAUUUAUUCGCAAAUAAACUGUCAUAAACAUCAA